RNAcentral lists this transfer RNA (64 nucleotides) under Diartiger fossulatus. RNAcentral describes it as "tRNA-Asp". The record is from RNAcentral. Lineage: Eukaryota; Metazoa; Arthropoda; Insecta; Coleoptera; Staphylinidae.
AAAAAUUUAGUUAAACAAUAACAUUAGUUCGUCAAACUAAAAUUAUCUUCUUAGGUAAUUUUUA